AAGCCAGCCAAUUGAUCUGCUUAUUUUAAUGUGUUUCUGUGGAAAUUUAGAAAAAUCAGGUAAUAGUAAUGCCAUUUUAUGAGCCUUAAGAACAGCUGAUGCCAUGGCAGUCCCUCAGAAUGGUUACAAUA
This is a small nucleolar RNA of Jaculus jaculus (lesser Egyptian jerboa), 131 nucleotides long. The record is from Ensembl. Lineage: Eukaryota; Metazoa; Chordata; Mammalia; Rodentia; Dipodidae.